This 72-nucleotide transfer RNA is filed under the name Ipomoea nil (Japanese morning glory). It matches the Rfam family "tRNA". Rfam says of the family: Transfer RNA (tRNA) molecules are approximately 80 nucleotides in length. Their secondary structure includes four short double-helical elements and three loops (D, anti-codon, and T loops). Further hydrogen bonds mediate the characteristic L-shaped molecular structure. tRNAs have two regions of fundamental functional importance: the anti-codon, which is responsible for specific mRNA codon recognition, and the 3' end, to which the tRNAs corresponding amino acid is attached (by aminoacyl-tRNA synthetases). tRNAs cope with the degeneracy of the genetic code in two manners: having more than one tRNA (with a specific anti-codon) for a particular amino acid; and 'wobble' base-pairing, i.e. permitting non-standard base-pairing at the 3rd anti-codon position. Lineage: Eukaryota; Viridiplantae; Streptophyta; Magnoliopsida; Solanales; Convolvulaceae. The record is from Rfam by way of RNAcentral.
GUGGUUGUAGUUUAGUGGUAAGAAUUUCACGUUGUGGUUGUGGAAACUUGGGUUCGAAUCCCAAUAGCCACA